CUGGUGGAAAGACCAUCAAUGGUUCUCUGAACAAUUGGUUUUUAAUUAUUAUUAGGUCUUUCCACUUUUCCGUGGAAAGACCUAUUGGAUUUCUUCUGAUUAUUAUUAUAAUUAUUUUUUUUUUUUUUUUUCUUCCGCCUAAUUUUUUUCCUUCGCUGUUUUUUUGUUUCGCAAGAUGUCGCUUAGAUUUUGGGAAUAUGAUAUCAAACAGUUUAUAGCUUUUGAAACCAACUCUGCUUAACCGAAUACUUUCCCAAAAAAGAGUUAUCUCCCCGAACACUGUUUUUCUUGUUAUCUCUAAGGCUUCGCAACCGUAUAAGAAACCGACAAAUUUAUUUUUCCAAAUUGCUCGUUAUAUCCUCAGGAUGUUCUGUUUUAUUUUGACCGAAGCCGUAUAUAGAUUCCAUAUGAGAGUUAUCCCCCUUUCAUGUUUGAUAUAAGAAUUUGCAUUUCUAACUGGUAAACCAUAAGUGAUAGAGACCUAGGGUCUUUUGAUUUGAGGUCCUUGGUCCAAAAAAAUGAAAAUAAGGUCAAGGUCAAAGGUCAAGGUCAUAUUAUAAAUUUUGAUUUUGGCUUAUUUUCACUUAUUUUCAAAAGCCGUAUAACUUAUCGACAAAUUAUUUUUACUAAAUUGUUAGUUGCGACAUGUCGUAACUUAUAAAUUUUGGUUGAAAGGGUGCGUAGACAAUAAAUGGGAGUUUUCGCCCCUCUUAUGUUUAGCAUUAUGCGUAAAGUGAUAUUACUCAUAAACCAUACAUAUUAAGGAACUAGUGUCUUUAGGUUUGAGAUCCUUAGUCUAUGACCUUGAAAUUGAGGUCAAGGUCAUAGGUUAAUUGGACGGUCUAGAUUUUGACCUUUGCUCCAAAUUCAUAUUUAGACAUCAUAAAGUCAUAGGAACUGACAUAUCAACUGAAUUUUUAAUAUUUUCACAUCAAAAUAUGUUGUAAGUGGUGGAAAGACCAUCAAUGGUUCUCUGAACAAUUGGUUUUUAAUUAUUUUUCUAUUUUUUUUUCUUCCGCCUAAUUUUUUUCCUUCGCUGUUUUUUUUGUUUCGAAAGAUGUUGCUUAGAUAUUUGAAAUAUGAUAUCGAACAGUCUAUAUGCUUUUGAAACCAACUCUGCUUAACAGAAUACUUUCCCAUAUAAGAGUUAUCUCCCUGAACACUGUUUUUCUUGUUAUCUCUAAGGCUUCGCAACCAUAUAAGAAACCGACAAAUUUAUUUUUCCAAAUUGCUCGUUAUAUCCUCAGGAUGUUCUGUUUUAUUUUGACCGAAGCCGUAUCGAGAUUCCAUAUGAGAGUUAUUUCCCCUUUUGUAUUUGAAAUUUUGAAAUGUAUUCUAAACUGGAAAACCAUAAGUGAUAGAGACCUGGGGGCUUUUGAUUUGAGAUCCUUGGUCCAAAAAAAUGAAAAUAAGGUCAAGGUCAAAGGUCAAGGUCAUAUUCUAAAUUUUGAUUUUAGCUUAUUUUCACUCAUUUUCAUUAACCUUAUAAGAUAUCGACAAAUUAUUUUUACUAAAUUGUUAGUUG
Molecule: long non-coding RNA, 1525 nt
Filed under: Mytilus galloprovincialis (Mediterranean mussel)
Lineage: Eukaryota; Metazoa; Mollusca; Bivalvia; Mytilida; Mytilidae
Source: RNAcentral